GCCGGAGUAGCUCAGUUGGCAGAGCAUCGCUCUUGUAAAGCGAAGGCCGUCGGUUCGAGCCCGACCUCCGGCU
Molecule: transfer RNA, 73 nt
Filed under: Thermoleophilaceae bacterium
Lineage: Bacteria; Bacillati; Actinomycetota; Thermoleophilia; Thermoleophilales; Thermoleophilaceae
Also listed under: 2 other names
Description: tRNA-Thr
Rfam family: tRNA
About the family: Transfer RNA (tRNA) molecules are approximately 80 nucleotides in length. Their secondary structure includes four short double-helical elements and three loops (D, anti-codon, and T loops). Further hydrogen bonds mediate the characteristic L-shaped molecular structure. tRNAs have two regions of fundamental functional importance: the anti-codon, which is responsible for specific mRNA codon recognition, and the 3' end, to which the tRNAs corresponding amino acid is attached (by aminoacyl-tRNA synthetases). tRNAs cope with the degeneracy of the genetic code in two manners: having more than one tRNA (with a specific anti-codon) for a particular amino acid; and 'wobble' base-pairing, i.e. permitting non-standard base-pairing at the 3rd anti-codon position.
Source: RNAcentral